ACUUGGCUCUCGCCCUCCGGCCGGGAAGCAUGGGGCUUCCCAGGCUGGUCUGCGCCUUCUUGCUCGCCGCCUGCUGCUGCUGUCCUCGCGUCGCGGCCUCAGCUGGAGCUGUUCGGUGCUCAGUCUCUGCUCAAUCUCUGCUCGGCUCCAAGGACCUGGGGUCUCCUGGACGGGGAGAGGGCUGGCCCAGGUGUGCCCGGAGAGGCUGAGCAGCCUGCGCCUGAGCUGGUGGAGGUUGAAGUGGGCAGCACAGCCCUUCUGAAGUGCGGCCUCUCCCAGUCCCAAGGCGACCUCAGCCAUGUCGACUGGUUUUCUGUCCACAAGGAGAAGCGGACGCUCAUCUUCCGUGUGCGGCAGGGCCAGGGCCAGAGCGAACGUGGGGAGUACGAGCAGCGGCUCAGCCUCCAGGACAGAGGGGCUACUCUGGCCCUGACUCAAGUCACCCCCCACGACGAGCGCAUCUUCUUGUGCCAGGGCAAGCGCCCUCGGUCCCAGGAGUACCGCAUCCAGCUCCGCGUCUACAAAGCUCCGGAGGAGCCAAACAUCCAGGUCAACGCCCUGGGCAUCCCUGUGAACAGUAAGGAGCCU
This 588-nucleotide small RNA is filed under the name Pongo abelii (Sumatran orangutan). RNAcentral describes it as "retained intron". The record is from RNAcentral. Lineage: Eukaryota; Metazoa; Chordata; Mammalia; Primates; Hominidae.